GAUGAACGCUGGCGGCGUGCUUAACACAUGCAAGUCGAACGGGAAACCUUUUAUUGAAGCUUCGGCAGAUUUAGCUGGUUUCUAGUGGCGGACGGGGGAGUAACGCGUGGGUAACCUGCCUUAUACAGGGGGAUAACAACCAGAAAUGGUUGCUAAUACCGCAUAAGCGCACAGGACCGCAUGGUCCGGUGUGAAAAACUCCGGUGGUAUAAGAUGGACCCGCGUUGGAUUAGCUAGUUGGCAGGGUAACGGCCUACCAAGGCGACGAUCCAUAGCCGGCCUGAGAGGGUGAACGGCCACAUUGGGACUGAGACACGGCCCAGACUCCUACGGGAGGCAGCAGUGGGGAAUAUUGCACAAUGGGGGAAACCCUGAUGCAGCGACGCCGCGUGAAGGAAGAAGUAUCUCGGUAUGUAAACUUCUAUCAGCAGGGAAGAUAGUGACGGUACCUGACUAAGAAGCCCCGGCUAACUACGUG
This 478-nucleotide ribosomal RNA is filed under the name uncultured bacterium. RNAcentral describes it as "partial 16S ribosomal RNA". It matches the Rfam family "Bacterial small subunit ribosomal RNA", at positions 28 to 507 of the family's 1533-position model. The record is from RNAcentral.